CAGGGUUUGAUCCUGGCUCAGAUUGAACGCUGGCGGCAGGCCUAACACAUGCAAGUCGAGCGGAUGAAGGGAGCUUGCUCCUGGAUUCAGCGGCGGACGGGUGAGUAAUGCCUAGGAAUCUGCCUGGUAGUGGGGGAUAACGUCCGGAAACGGGCGCUAAUACCGCAUACGUCCUGAGGGAGAAAGUGGGGGAUCUUCGGACCUCACGCUAUCAGAUGAGCCUAGGUCGGAUUAGCUAGUUGGUGGGGUAAAGGCCUACCAAGGCGACGAUCCGUAACUGGUCUGAGAGGAUGAUCAGUCACACUGGAACUGAGACACGGUCCAGACUCCUACGGGAGGCAGCAGUGGGGAAUAUUGGACAAUGGGCGAAAGCCUGAUCCAGCCAUGCCGCGUGUGUGAAGAAGGUCUUCGGAUUGUAAAGCACUUUAAGUUGGGAGGAAGGGCAGUAAGUUAAUACCUUGCUGUUUUGACGUUACCAACAGAAUAAGCACCGGCUAACUUCGUGCCAGCAGCCGCGGUAAUACGAAGGGUGCAAGCGUUAAUCGGAAUUACUGGGCGUAAAGCGCGCGUAGGUGGUUCAGCAAGUUGGAUGUGAAAUCCCCGGGCUCAACCUGGGAACUGCAUCCAAAACUACUGAGCUAGAGUACGGUAGAGGGUGGUGGAAUUUCCUGUGUAGCGGUGAAAUGCGUAGAUAUAGGAAGGAACACCAGUGGCGAAGGCGACCACCUGGACUGAUACUGACACUGAGGUGCGAAAGCGUGGGGAGCAAACAGGAUUAGAUACCCUGGUAGUCCACGCCGUAAACGAUGUCGACUAGCCGUUGGGAUCCUUGAGAUCUUAGUGGCGCAGCUAACGCGAUAAGUCGACCGCCUGGGGAGUACGGCCGCAAGGUUAAAACUCAAAGGAAUUGACGGC
RNAcentral lists this ribosomal RNA (915 nucleotides) under uncultured bacterium. Its description in RNAcentral is "bacterial SSU rRNA". It matches the Rfam family "Bacterial small subunit ribosomal RNA", at positions 8 to 917 of the family's 1533-position model. The record is from RNAcentral.